CCAUCCAUGUCCACCGUGUAAUAGAUCUUUUGGAUUGGUGUCUUCACUGAAACACCGUCGAGCGAGGACUGAGACAGCUGAGUGAGUGAGUUUAGCAAGUUAGGCUGACAAGAUGUCGUUUACAUUGAGAAGCGUGAAGGUUCCUCCGAACUCGGCGAGUCUGGAGGAGGCAAGGGCUCGUGUUUUCGAUUUCUUUAGAACGGCCUGCAGAUCAAUUCCCCAAAUCGUGGAAAUCUACAAUCUACAGGACGUCGUCACUGUGUCCCAGCUCCGUUCCACCAUCGCCUCUGAGAUUCGCAAGAACUCCAACAUCACCAAUCCCAAGGUAAUUGAUUUGCUGCUUUUCAAAGGAACGGAAGAGCUGAGCAACAUUACUGAGCAUGCAAAGCAGCGCCA
RNAcentral lists this unclassified non-coding RNA (396 nucleotides) under Hevea brasiliensis (rubber tree). Lineage: Eukaryota; Viridiplantae; Streptophyta; Magnoliopsida; Malpighiales; Euphorbiaceae. The record is from RNAcentral.